This 370-nucleotide ribosomal RNA is filed under the name Clostridioides difficile. RNAcentral describes it as "bacterial SSU rRNA". It matches the Rfam family "Bacterial small subunit ribosomal RNA", at positions 397 to 785 of the family's 1533-position model. The record is from RNAcentral. Lineage: Bacteria; Bacillati; Bacillota; Clostridia; Peptostreptococcales; Peptostreptococcaceae.
CCGCGUGAGUGAUGAAGGCCUUCGGGUCGUAAAACUCUGUCCUCAAGGAAGAUAAUGACGGUACUUGAGGAGGAAGCCCCGGCUAACUACGUGCCAGCAGCCGCGGUAAUACGUAGGGGGCUAGCGUUAUCCGGAUUUACUGGGCGUAAAGGGUGCGUAGGCGGUCUUUCAAGUCAGGAGUGAAAGGCUACGGCUCAACCGUAGUAAGCUCUUGAAACUGGGAGACUUGAGUGCAGGGGAGGAGAGUGGAAUUCCUAGUGUAGCGGUGAAAUGCGUAGAUAUUAGGAGGAACACCAGUUGCGAAGGCGGCUCUCUGGACUGUAACUGACGCUGAGGCACGAAAGCGUGGGGAGCAAACAGGAUUAGAUAC